GAUGAACGCUAGCUACAGGCUUAACACAUGCAAGUCGAGGGGAAACGGCAUCGAAAGCUUGCUUUUGAUGGGCGUCGACCGGCGCACGGGUGAGUAACGCGUAUCCAACCUGCCCAUCACUUGGGAAUAACCUUGCGAAAGUAAGACUAAUGCCCAAUGACAUCCCACGAAGGCAUCCGAAUGGGAUUAAAGAUUUAUCGGUGAUGGAUGGGGAUGCGUCUGAUUAGCUUGUUGGCGGGGUGACGGCCCACAAAGGCAACGAUCAGUAGGGGUUCUGAGAGGAAGGUCCCCCACAUUGGAACUGAGACACGGUCCAAACUCCUACGGGAGGCAGCAGUGAGGAAUAUUGGUCAAUGGGCGAGAGCCUGAACCAGCCAAGUAGCGUGCAGGAUGACGGCCCUAUGGGUUGUAAACUGCUUUUAUAAGGGAAUAAAGUGGGUCACGUGUGACUUUUUGCAUGUACCUUAUGAAUAAGGACCGGCUAAUUCCGUG
RNAcentral lists this ribosomal RNA (492 nucleotides) under uncultured bacterium. Its description in RNAcentral is "partial 16S ribosomal RNA". It matches the Rfam family "Bacterial small subunit ribosomal RNA", at positions 28 to 507 of the family's 1533-position model. The record is from RNAcentral.